UCUCUCUUGUUUUGAUGAUUUUCGUACGUGUAGAUCAGCUACAACAAGAAAUCUUUAUCAUCAAAACAACAUUCUAUCUAAAGUGGUUUUCACUUAAGCCUUAUUACACUGGUUCCCAAACAGUGGACCCUUCUACGGGCGCCAACUUGCAGACAAGAAAUUUCAAAAGUUCUUUUUUAAAGGUUGACCGCUGUAGGUCGACCCCCCGACAUACCAGGUGGUGUAAUGUACCAGGUGAGGAAACAAACACCUGACGGAAACCCACGGGUCUGGCACUAUGG
This is a long non-coding RNA of Physella acuta, 281 nucleotides long. RefSeq lists it as uncharacterized. The record is from RefSeq and is a predicted model, not a curated record. NCBI's taxonomy places the organism in Eukaryota, Metazoa, Mollusca, Gastropoda, Physidae.